RNAcentral lists this ribosomal RNA (253 nucleotides) under uncultured bacterium. RNAcentral describes it as "partial 16S ribosomal RNA". It matches the Rfam family "Bacterial small subunit ribosomal RNA", at positions 524 to 776 of the family's 1533-position model. The record is from RNAcentral.
UACGAAGGGUGCAAGCGUUACUCGGAAUUACUGGGCGUAAAGCGUGCGUAGGUGGUGGUUUAAGUCUGUUGUGAAAGCCCUGGGCUCAACCUGGGAAUUGCAGUGGAUACUGGGUCACUAGAGUGUGGUAGAGGGUAGCGGAAUUCCCGGUGUAGCAGUGAAAUGCGUAGAGAUCGGGAGGAACAUCCGUGGCGAAGGCGGCUACCUGGACCAACACUGACACUGAGGCACGAAAGCGUGGGGAGCAAACAGG